Molecule: long non-coding RNA, 227 nt
Filed under: Manihot esculenta (cassava)
Lineage: Eukaryota; Viridiplantae; Streptophyta; Magnoliopsida; Malpighiales; Euphorbiaceae
Description: long non-coding RNA (MESC_LNC005950)
Source: RNAcentral
GAUAUGUAGAGGACUAUUGGUGACAAGUUCAUCCUUAAUGUGAUUUGUUUGUGAUGUGAUGCAUUUCAUGAAAGCAUGAACUUUUAAUAUAAUGUUUUAUUAUUCUGCUCACUAGGCUCUAGUAGCUCACCCCACUCCCUUAACCCCAGGUUUGCAGGUACGGGCUAGUCCAGGAGGUCAGCAAGAUUAGAAGUGUUAUGUAAUAGCUAGUGGUGGACAUGAUGAAU